AAAUUGAAGAGUUUGAUCAUGGCUCAGAUUGAACGCUGGCGGCAGGCCUAACACAUGCAAGUCGAACGGUAACAGGAAGCAGCUUGCUGCUUCGCUGACGAGUGGCGGACGGGUGAGUAAUGUCUGGGAAACUGCCUGAUGGAGGGGGAUAACUACUGGAAACGGUGGCUACUACUGGAAACGGUGGCUA
Molecule: ribosomal RNA, 190 nt
Filed under: Salmonella enterica
Lineage: Bacteria; Pseudomonadati; Pseudomonadota; Gammaproteobacteria; Enterobacterales; Enterobacteriaceae
Description: partial 16S ribosomal RNA
Rfam family: Bacterial small subunit ribosomal RNA
Source: RNAcentral